RNAcentral lists this ribosomal RNA (460 nucleotides) under uncultured bacterium. RNAcentral's name for it is "partial 16S ribosomal RNA". It matches the Rfam family "Bacterial small subunit ribosomal RNA", at positions 338 to 795 of the family's 1533-position model. The record is from RNAcentral.
CCUACGGGUGGCUGCAGUGAGGAAUAUUGGUCAAUGGACGAAAGUCUGAACCAGCCAAGCAGCGUGCAGGAUGACUGCCCUAUGAGUUGUAAACUUCUUUUGUACGGGGGUAAAGCGCGAUACGUGUCCCGGGUUGUAUGUACCGUAUGAAUAAGGAUCGGCUAACUCCGUGCCAGCAGCCGCGGUAAUACGGAGGAUCCGAGCGUUAUCCGGAUUUAUUGGGUUUAAAGGGUGCGUAGGCGGUCUGAUAAGUUAGCGGUGAAAGGUCGGGGCUCAACCACGAAACUGCCGCUAAAACUGGGGGACUAGAGAAUGUUUGCGGUAGGCGGAAUGUAUGGUGUAGCGGUGAAAUGCUUAGAGAUCAUACAGAACACCGAUUGCGAAGGCAGCUUGCCAAGCUAUAACUGACGUUGAGGUACGAAAGCGUGGGGAGCAAACAGGAUUAGAUACCCCGGUAGUC